RNAcentral lists this unclassified non-coding RNA (161 nucleotides) under uncultured Acremonium. Its description in RNAcentral is "sequence contains ITS1". The record is from RNAcentral. Lineage: Eukaryota; Fungi; Ascomycota.
CUGAGUGUUACAACUCCUAAACCCUUUGUGAACAGUACCAUUCGUUGCUUCGGCGGGACCGCCCCGGCGCCUCUGCGCGCCGGACCCAGGCGCCCGCCGGGGGCCCGAAACUCUUGUUUUGCCAGUGGUAUUUUCUCUGAGUGGCAUAAGCAAAUGAAUCA